GGUCUUGCUGUCACUUAUAGAUGGAUCCGCGCUGCAUUAGCUAGUUGGUAAGGUAACGGCUUACCAAGGCAACGAUGCAUAGCCGACCUGAGAGGGUGAUCGGCCACACUGGAACUGAGACACGGUCCAGACUCCUACGGGAGGCAGCAGUAGGGAAUCUUCCGCAAUGGGCGAAAGCCUGACGGAGCAACGCCGCGUGAGUGAUGAAGGUCUUCGGAUCGUAAAACUCUGUUAUUAGGGAAGAACAUAUGUGUAAGUAACUGUGCACAUCUUGACGGUACCUAAUCAGAAAGCCACGGCUAACUACGUGCCAGCAGCCGCGGUAAUACGUAGGUGGCAAGCGUUAUCCGGAAUUAUUGGGCGUAAAGCGCGCGUAGGCGGUUUUUUAAGUCUGAUGUGAAAGCCC
This 406-nucleotide ribosomal RNA is filed under the name Staphylococcus aureus. RNAcentral's name for it is "bacterial SSU rRNA". It matches the Rfam family "Bacterial small subunit ribosomal RNA", at positions 202 to 603 of the family's 1533-position model. Lineage: Bacteria; Bacillati; Bacillota; Bacilli; Caryophanales; Staphylococcaceae. The record is from RNAcentral.